RNAcentral lists this ribosomal RNA (892 nucleotides) under uncultured bacterium. RNAcentral's name for it is "bacterial SSU rRNA". It matches the Rfam family "Bacterial small subunit ribosomal RNA", at positions 505 to 1397 of the family's 1533-position model. The record is from RNAcentral.
GUGCCAGCAGCCGCGGUAAUACGUAGGUGGCAAGCGUUGUCCGGAUUUAUUGGGCGUAAAGCGAGCGCAGGCGGUUUCUUAAGUCUGAUGUGAAAGCCUUCGGCUCAACCGAAGAAGUGCAUCGGAAACUGGGAAACUUGAGUGCAGAAGAGGACAGUGGAACUCCAUGUGUAGCGGUGAAAUGCGUAGAUAUAUGGAAGAACACCAGUGGCGAAGGCGGCUGUCUGGUCUGUAACUGACGCUGAGGCUCGAAAGCAUGGGUAGCAAACAGGAUUAGAUACCCUGGUAGUCCAUGCCGUAAACGAUGAGUGCUAGGUGUUGGAGGGUUUCCGCCCUUCAGUGCCGCAGCUAACGCAUUAAGCACUCCGCCUGGGGAGUACGACCGCAAGGUUGAAACUCAAAGGAAUUGACGGGGGCCCGCACAAGCGGUGGAGCAUGUGGUUUAAUUCGAAGCAACGCGAAGAACCUUACCAGGUCUUGACAUCCUUUGACCACUCUAGAGAUAGAGCUUUCCCUUCGGGGACAAAGUGACAGGUGGUGCAUGGUUGUCGUCAGCUCGUGUCGUGAGAUGUUGGGUUAAGUCCCGCAACGAGCGCAACCCUUAUUACUAGUUGCCAGCAUUUAGUUGGGCACUCUAGUGAGACUGCCGGUGACAAACCGGAGGAAGGUGGGGACGACGUCAAAUCAUCAUGCCCCUUAUGACCUGGGCUACACACGUGCUACAAUGGAUGGUACAACGAGUCGCGAGACCGCGAGGUUUAGCUAAUCUCUUAAAACCAUCCUCAGUUCGGAUUGUAGGCUGCAACUCGCCUACAUGAAGCCGGAAUCGCUAGUAAUCGCGGAUCAGCAUGCCGCGGUGAAUACGUUCCCGGGCCUUGUACACACCGCCCGU